RNAcentral lists this ribosomal RNA (475 nucleotides) under uncultured bacterium. RNAcentral's name for it is "bacterial SSU rRNA". It matches the Rfam family "Bacterial small subunit ribosomal RNA", at positions 1 to 524 of the family's 1533-position model. The record is from RNAcentral.
GGAUCCAGACUUUGAUUAUGGCUCAGAACGAACGCUGGCGGCAGGCCUAACACAUGCAAGUCGAACGAACCUUUUAGGUGAGUGGCGCACGGGUGCGGAACACGUGGGAAUGUACCCUUGAGUACGGAACAACGUCUGGAAACGGACGCUAAUACCGUAUAAUGACUUCGGUCCAAAGAUUUAUCGCUCAAGGAUCAGCCCGCGUCUGAUUAGUUUGUUGGCGGGGUAACGGCCUACCCAGACUACGAUCAGUAGGGGGUCUGAGAGGAUGAUCCCCCACACUGGAACUGAGACACGGUCCAGACUCCUACGGGAGGCAGCAGUGAGGAAUAUUGCACAAUGGAGGAAACUCUGAUGCAGCCAUGCCGCGUGAGUGAUGAAGGCCUUAGGGUUGUAAAGCUCUUCCAAUCGUGAAGAUAAUGACGGUAGCGAUAGAAGAAGCCCCGGCUAAAUUCGUGCCAGCAGCCGCGGUAAU